AUUGAACGCUGGCGGCAGGCCUAACACAUGCAAGUCGAACGGUAACAGGAAGAAGCUUGCUUCUUUGCUGACGAGUGGCGGACGGGUGAGUAAUGUCUGGGAAACUGCCUGAUGGAGGGGGAUAACUACUGGAAACGGUAGCUAAUACCGCAUAACGUCGCAAGACCAAAGAGGGGGACCUUCGGGCCUCUUGCCAUCGGAUGUGACCAGAUGGGAUUAGCUAGUAGGUGGGGUAACGGCUCACCUAGGCGACGAUCCCUAGCUGGUCUGAGAGGAUGACCAGCCACACUGGAACUGAGACACGGUCCAGACUCCUACGGGAGGCAGCAGUGGGGAAUAUUGCACAAUGGGCGCAAGCCUGAUGCAGCCAUGCCGCGUGUAUGAAGAAGGCCUUCGGGUUGUAAAGUACUUUCAGCGGGGAGGAAGGGAGUAAAGUUAAUACCUUUACUCAUUGACGUUACCCGCAGAAGAAGCACCGGCUAACUCCGUG
Molecule: ribosomal RNA, 490 nt
Filed under: uncultured bacterium
Lineage: Bacteria
Description: partial 16S ribosomal RNA
Rfam family: Bacterial small subunit ribosomal RNA
Source: RNAcentral